Molecule: long non-coding RNA, 294 nt
Filed under: Homo sapiens (human)
Lineage: Eukaryota; Metazoa; Chordata; Mammalia; Primates; Hominidae
Description: HSALNT0162003
Source: RNAcentral
UGCCUACUUUUGUGGAUGAACAUCCCUGACAAGGUGGUGCUAUCUGUGAAAGGAGAGUCUCCACGCAUAUUCUGACCUGUAUCAAGGUCCAGUGCAGCAGUGGUCCCCACCCACCCUUGCUCCAUGGCACUCACAAUUCCUGGUAUGCUCUGGGCACUGGGCAUCAGGGACAGAUGUAUAGGACAGCAAGACACAAGGGCGAGAACUCUACGUUUCAUAAGGUAGAAAUAAAAAAAUUUUGACACUUAGUUUACCUCAGAGAAAAAAGAAAACAGUGAGCUUUCCAAGGGUCGA